UACGGGGGGGGCAAGCGUUGUUCGGAAUUACUGGGCGUAAAGGGCUCGUAGGUGGCCAACUAAGUCAGACGUGAAAUCCCUCGGCUUAACCGGGGAACUGCGUCUGAUACUGGAUGGCUUGAGUUCGGGAGAGGGAUGCGGAAUUCCAGGUGUAGCGGUGAAAUGCGUAGAUAUCGGGAGGAACACCGGUGGCGAAGGCGGCGACCUGGGUUGACAUUGACGCUGAGGCGCGAAAGCGUGGGGAGCAAACAGG
This 253-nucleotide ribosomal RNA is filed under the name uncultured bacterium. RNAcentral's name for it is "partial 16S ribosomal RNA". It matches the Rfam family "Bacterial small subunit ribosomal RNA", at positions 524 to 776 of the family's 1533-position model. The record is from RNAcentral.